Molecule: ribosomal RNA, 722 nt
Filed under: uncultured eukaryote
Lineage: Eukaryota
Description: SSU rRNA
Rfam family: Eukaryotic small subunit ribosomal RNA
Source: RNAcentral
GGUAUCGCCGUUAGUCAUGUGCAAAUAUGGAUAGCUGUUUUAGCCGUCUUUAUUGACUGGUUCAUAAGAGUUAUCAGAUAUCACUUUGAUUAAAUUAGAGUGCUUAAAGCAAGUGUGUUACUUGGAUAUAAAUGCAUGGAAUGAUGGAAUAUGUUGUUAUUCUAUUUGUUGGUUUUUGAAUGAUAAAAUGAUUGAAAGGAACUGUUGGGGGCAUUCGUAUUGUUGUGAGAGAGGUGAAAUUCUUAGACCACAGCAAGACGAACUACUGCGAAAGCAUUUGCCAAGAAUGUUUUCAUUGAUCAAGAACGAAAGUUAGAGGUUCGAAGGCGAUCAGAUACCGCCCUAGUUCUAACCAUAAACUAUGCCAACUAGCAAUUUGCUUUGUAUUUUUUAUGACUAAGUGAGAGGCCACGGGAAACCUAAGUAGGGUUAUGGGGGAAGUAUGGUUGCAAAGCUGAAACUUAAAGGAAUUGACGGAAGGGCACCACCAGGAGUGGAGCCUGCGGCUUAAUUUGACUCAACACGGGAAAACUUACCUGGUCCUGACACUAGAAGGAUUGACAGAUUGAUAGCUCUUUCUUGAUUUGGUGGAUGGUGGUGCAUGGCCGUUCUUAGUUGGUGGAGUGAUUUGUCUGGUUAAUUCCGAUAACGAACGAGACUCUAGCCUAUUAAAUAAUGCACGGAAUUUUAUCUUCCGCGGUAUUUCUUAGUGGGAUCAAGCG